AAUUGAGAGCAGAUUCGGAUCCCUUAUUCAAGUAGAGACAUUACUCAACUAAGAUCUGCUGUGUGGAAAGAGCGGCUUAAAGGUAUCCAAAAAUUUGAGAGAUUUACAAGGUUCCACUUUUGCUAUUAUUAGCGAAUGAGUGAAGCAAUAUGGAGCUUUUCAAGAAAGUUUCAAAUGGUGUGAGAGAAAGAGGCUGUCGCUGAACUAACAGAGCGUGCAUCCACCAAAAAGAUUACUCCUUGAGAUUUUUCAGAAGUUUGUCGAACAAUUAAGAAGGUUAUAUCACAGAUGUAAACAUUACGAUAGGAAGAAAAAAAAGGAAAAAAAAAAGCGUUGCUGUUGCAGCUGAAGCUAUUCAAGCUCUGGGCAACC
Molecule: long non-coding RNA, 372 nt
Organism: Salvia splendens (bonfire salvia)
Lineage: Eukaryota; Viridiplantae; Streptophyta; Magnoliopsida; Lamiales; Lamiaceae
Exons: 4
Source: RefSeq, a predicted model, not a curated record